GUUUAUGGUAUCUUACAGGUAGCUUAUGUCAGCUCAACCGUUAACCUUAGCAUAGCACUUAGUUUAACAAGAUACAGCUACUUUUUAUAUUAAUGAAGUCAGCAUGACUUUCCCCCUUUUUUGACUGAAACGAGACCUUUGCUUGACAUUGAAGCUUCUGCAUUUGAAAGGAACAGGAAUCUGCCCCUAAUCCAACUCCAGAACUAUCAUUCCUACAGAACUGUAGAGGUUCAAAGCCAGCAUCCAGCUGGAGGAGAAACAGAACACUUGGAUGUCACAGGAACAGUUCAGUU
Molecule: long non-coding RNA, 293 nt
Organism: Girardinichthys multiradiatus
Lineage: Eukaryota; Metazoa; Chordata; Actinopteri; Cyprinodontiformes; Goodeidae
Exons: 3
Source: RefSeq, a predicted model, not a curated record